RNAcentral lists this ribosomal RNA (253 nucleotides) under uncultured bacterium. RNAcentral's name for it is "partial 16S ribosomal RNA". It matches the Rfam family "Bacterial small subunit ribosomal RNA", at positions 524 to 776 of the family's 1533-position model. The record is from RNAcentral.
UACAGAGGUCCCAAGCGUUGUUCGGAUUCACUGGGCGUAAAGGGUGCGUAGGCGGUCGGGUAAGUCUGGCGUGAAAUCUCCAAGCCUAACUUGGAAACUGCGUUGGAUACUAUCCGGCUCGAGGAAUGGAGGGGAGACUGGAAUACUUGGUGUAGCAGUGAAAUGCGUAGAUAUCAAGUGGAACACCAGUGGCGAAGGCGAGUCUCUGGACAUUUCCUGACGCUGAGGAGCGAAAGCGUGGGGAGCGAACAGG